UAUAGAAGCCAACAUUGAAAAGGGAGAAGUUGCCGAAGGUCAAACCACUGGCAACAGAAAGAAAUUCUUCACAGGAAAUGACUUGAAUUUAAUUUGCCAUGGACUUCUUCAGCUGGAUACCAGAAAUCCAUUCGUUCUGUACCAAUCCUGCGCUGAGCACCUGAAAGUGCUGAGGCCCAAUAAUGAGGGCAGAACACUUGGCUUCAGAGAGUACACAGCAUCUGGCAGAGAAAGAAAUAUACCACAAAUGGGGCGUUUCGGAGGUUAAGGAAAAUUCCCUCUCCCCGCACACUGGGGGCACUGAAGAAAUGAAGAACACGAUGCAUCCACUCUGAAGCAGAGAUUCAGAAAAAAGCUAAAGGAGUUGACUUGCUUGAGUGUAUGCCCCUGGGAGGAAGGUGUGUAAGGUUAUGUAAGAUGGAACCAAUUUUAUCCCGUGUGAUGCUAGGAAAAGAAUGGAAAGCCACACCACAGAGGGGUCUAAAUUGAGCGCAUUGCGGUCAGUGUUCAGCCUGAGCUGAGAAAAGAAACCAGGCUCCCCAUGGGGAGGCAGGAACUUUCUCAGUGAUUUUUGAAGUCCAUGUAAAUAAAUAAAUAGCUAACAUUUAUUGAGCACUUGUUAUGUGAGCACUCUUCUAAGAGAUUUGUGUGCAUUGAUUUAUUUUCAUCACAGAACUUGACAGGUG
This 686-nucleotide long non-coding RNA is filed under the name Homo sapiens (human). RNAcentral describes it as "HSALNT0253034". Lineage: Eukaryota; Metazoa; Chordata; Mammalia; Primates; Hominidae. The record is from RNAcentral.